UUGAGUGCGCUAUAAAUAGAUAGGCAUAAACAGAGGCAGAGGCAGAGAGAGAGAGAGUAUGGAAGUCGCAUCAUUCCAUCCUUCAAUUUACAAUUACACCUAUGGCUAUGGCCAUGGCCAUCUCUUCCCCUCUCCAAAUUAUGUGCACUGGACUCAGACCCCCUCACCUCCCAUCCUUUACUCCGCCGACAUCCCAGGUUCGUCUUCUUCUUCUUCUUCUUUUAUAGGACUGAAAUUUGGGUAGAUAUAUAUAUGUUUGUGAGGUUGCAGGUGUGCGCAAGGAGGAGAUAAAGGUGGAGGUUGAAGACUCCAGGUACCUCAUUAUAAGAACGGAGGCGGUGGCGGACCGGAGCUUUAGCCGGAAAUUCAGGCUGCCGGAGCGGGUCGAUGUGGAGAGGAUUACGGCGGAGUACGUGGACGGCGUGUUGACGGUGAAGGUGCCCAGGAGGGGUUUUUUCAUUCAUCCUGCUCACGCCCAUCUCCCUGCAAGGGCUGCUUGAUUCUAUCUUCAUAUCUGUAUAUAUGUGUUUGUGUGGCUUCCAUUUCAUAUUGGAUGAUUGAAUCCAUAAAUUCUUGCGUGCUCUUGAAAAUAACUCAGAUAUUUGAUUCUUUAGGGUAUGUCUAUGCCACUUGAAACCUAUUCUUUAUCACCAAUAUACUCUUUAAAUUAAUAAACUCUCUAAAUUAAUAAAUUUCUUCCAUCUCAAGUUGGAGUUGGACCACUUCAAAAAAUAAUUAAUUUUAAUAAAAUAAUAAUUUAUUGGAAAAUCCUUCAUAAAUAUAUAAGCCCCAUAAUUAUUAUAAAUUAUUAAUUUUAAAAUAUUACAAUUAUAAAUAUUAUGAUAACUUGUAAAAUAUGAACCUCUUAUUAUCUGUUUUUUUUUAUAAAAAAAAUUAACAUUUAAAUGAAUUUCAUUCCUGAUUAAUUUUGGUACCGCUUUUAGUGCUUCUUUUUGACAAGGAACUCUAUAAAUUAUUAAUAUAUCUUUAAAAUAUUAACGUAUCAAUAUAUUAAUAUUAUCUUUAAAUUAAUAAAAGCCAUUGGGAGCCAAAAUUAUUAUUGACAUAAAGAUUUAACUUUAUUCCCAACCAAACUAGGCGCAAGUGGGGUGGCCGUUGGUACCUGUGGAUCACAAGAUUCCGAUUCAGUGGGGCCUAUUUAAAUCUGAAAACAUAAAUUAAGGGGGCGGCUGCUUUAUGAAAAUUACCCAAUUAUAUUAAUCAACAGCCGAAAAUGGACUAAAAAAAAGCCGAAAACAAUUUUGGAUACAUUAAAAUUCAAUGAACCGAACCAUAUUAUGCUUACUCAGUAAUCAGUAUUUCGAAUAAGUACCCAUAUUUUUUUCAGUCCAUUCCCAAAUAAGUAUUUCAAAUAAGUAUAUACCCAUAUUUCUCAUAUUACGAGACUCUUAUUUUAUUCACAAAGGUUCAUCAAUUUUUCAAAAUACGUAUCAUUUUCAAGUACUUUGAAAGUUAGAAUAGAUUCACAUUUUAUAAGAUCAUAAACAUCUUACAAAAUGUAAAUGAUGCUUCAAAGAAGAUCUGUGCCUGCAAAAGGCAACUUGUCAUCAUAGAGACAUGACAAUUUGAGCAACAAUCCAAAUCUAAUACAUACAAAUAUAACCUUGGCAAGUAUGUCAACUAGCACUCAAAAAAUCAUCACAAAAACAUAUGCACCAAAAGUAAAGGCAAAGGAAAUAGGGUAAGAAGCACCUUUCAUGACUCCAACCUUGAUGAGUUUCAGUAGCUCAACAACCUCUUUCAAUCUUCUCUCUUCAUUUUCUCUAGCUGGCAAAUUCUUCCAUUUCCUACAUUCAUUGCAUAAACAACAUUAAAAAAUAUUAUUCAGCUUAAAUUUACAUAGAAAAUUGCUGCUCUAUCCAGACCUCUUAUCAUUUCCUGCCUUUCUAGUCAGUUCUUCAGUCAAGGUUGUUCAACCUCUUCAAAAUGCUGGUGACUUGCGAAUAGCUCGAGCACCAUUUUCGAUUUUGCAUAUUCUCUUCAACAACUCAGAAGCAAUGAAAUACCCUUCCUCUUUAUUUCUGAAUACGAAAGUGAUUGCAGAAGAAAAAGAUCAUUAUCAAUAUUGUAACAAAAUGAGCGCACCAGUUCGUACUAAACUACUAAUAGUUCAGAGAAUGAGAAUGCACCGUAGGAACUCAAGGAAAACAGUUUCCACACAUCCAUGACUCUCAACCAGUACGUGGGCGAGGGAAGGAUAGCGCGCGAGAUUUCUAAGGGUAGAGAGUGCGUGCUUAAGAACUUGUUGAUCCGGUAUGCUCCGGCUAACAGAGCGGAUUAACUUUAGUAAAGUGGUGAUGGCACCAGCAGCGACAAGCUCCUCACAGCAUUUUUGUGAUAAUUCUGUGGCCACAUCUGUUAAAAACACACCAAGAUUAAUGCCCUUUGGACAAAUUAUUAUGCACAAAUGAGAUGUUAAAAACUCAUACCCAGAGCCUUUCAAAAAAGAAAANAAAACUCGUACCCAGAGUUUCACACGUGUGCAAAAUGCCACUGACACUUCUCAUAUUAAGAAGUUCUGCCACUGCUGAAACAAGCCUGUUUAUUAAGCGCCUGCUAUCAUCUACAUUUGCAGCAGAUUUUUGCAUUCUCAAUCGCAAGUCCAGCAGCUGGCCUUUUGCUUCUUUGCGGGCGAGGUAACCUUUCCAAUAUGACUGCCAACGGUGAGAGUUCAAGGUUAGUUGAACAAAAUGAGAUGGCACAACCUUGAAUGUGCAAUAAGGACUCAAAGAUUGAGCACAAGUUAGACUAUUUUCAAUUCAUUAUAAAAGAGGAAUCAAAGCUGUGCUUUAACAAAGCUUAAACUCUGAGAAGACCUAUUAUCAGCAGAAACAAACAAGGUGACUAACAAUACAUUGAGAAAGUUCAUUCAUCCUCGCUCAACAAAGCAUAAUCAAGCAUGCGAAAUGGAAGUCCAAUGGAGACUCACUUGAAUCACUACUGCACGCUGCUUUUCUUCUUUAGCCAUUUGCCUUGCCAUCCAUCCCCGAAAAUACGUCUGGACAACAAUUGCGGCUUUUGUUUUGAUUCUAACCUGCAGAAUGUGCCGCCACCAUCUUUGCAACUUCAGUACUGAUUGAAGGAGUAUUCUCCAAUUCAAGACCUUGGUAGCUGUCCAUCAUGGAUCUUGUUGAACAGAAAGCUCCUGCAUUGAAGCAUAUUCAAGACAGCUAAGGUUAAACCAAGAAAAGAUAAAGAAAGCCUUUAACAGAAAACUUUACUCACCUAAAAGUCUUCUCCUGGUGGCCUGUCCUCUGAUAAAACGUUGAAUAUCAAUCGCAGCAAGCCUCUGAGAGAUGAAUGACUGACGACAAUUCAUGCAAUUCAAAGCACUUUGGAUCUNUUUCUAUUUGAUAACAAUAAUAAUAAUAAUAACAACAACAACAACAACAAUAAUAAUAAUAAUAAUACUCCCUCCGUCCGCCAAGAUUAUGUCACAAUUACUAUAUCGGGGCGUCCGCCAAGAUUAUGUCACUUUCCUUUUAUGGCAAUGGUCCCACCAUCCUCUUUAAUAUUUGAUCCUUACUAACACUCUUUAUUUACAAAAAAACCACUCAAAAUUCAAUCUCAACCACUCAUCUCAUAAAGUGAUGGGACCCUUUCUCCACUACAUCAAAAUCAUCACCAAUUUUAUUAAAUCCCGUGCCCAAGCAAAUUGCCAUAAUCUUGGCGGACGGAGGGAGUAUAUAGUAUUUUUUAAUGUAUCAAACAUAUCUUACUUGAUUAAUUACAAAUAAAUAAUUUAACUAUUUAAAUUUUGUGAUUUAUAAUUAUGUAUGAUAUAUAAUUAUUAUUUUUAAUUGUUUAUGGAAUGAUUCGAUACUAGUGACGCUUAAAAUACAAUUUCUGCAAUUGGCGAAGUUUUAAUUUAGUUUUUCCUUAUCGUUGGGAAUUGAAUGUGUAGAUAUUUUGGUUGUGAAGACAGGUCGAGUUUGGCAAGUUGAGUGCGCUAUAAAUAGAUAGGCAUAAACAGAGGCAGAGGCAGAGAGAGAGAGAGUAUGGAAGUCGCAUCAUUCCAUCCUUCAAUUUACAAUUACACCUAUGGCUAUGGCCAUGGCCAUCUCUUCCCCUCUCCAAAUUAUGUGCACUGGACUCAGACCCCUCACUCCCAUCUUUACUCCGCCGACAUCCCAGGUUCGUCUUCUUCUUCUUCUUCUUUUAUAGGACUGAAAUUUGGGUAGAUAUAUAUAUAUAUAUGUUCGUGAGGUUGCAGGUGUGCGCAAGGAGGAGAUAAAGGUGGAGGUUGAAGACUCCAGGUACCUCAUUAUAAGAACGGAGGCGGUGGCGGACCGGAGCUUUAGCCGGAAAUUCAGGCUGCCGGAGCGGGUCGAUGUGGAGAGGAUUACGGCGGAGUACGUGGACGGCGUGUUGACGGUGAAGGUGCCCAGGAGGGGUUUUUUC
This 4422-nucleotide long non-coding RNA is filed under the name Salvia miltiorrhiza (redroot sage). Its description in RNAcentral is "long non-coding RNA (SMIL_LNC012346)". The record is from RNAcentral. Lineage: Eukaryota; Viridiplantae; Streptophyta; Magnoliopsida; Lamiales; Lamiaceae.